Molecule: transfer RNA, 98 nt
Filed under: Geotrichum candidum
Lineage: Eukaryota; Fungi; Ascomycota; Dipodascomycetes; Dipodascales; Dipodascaceae
Description: tRNA-Lys
Rfam family: tRNA
About the family: Transfer RNA (tRNA) molecules are approximately 80 nucleotides in length. Their secondary structure includes four short double-helical elements and three loops (D, anti-codon, and T loops).
Source: RNAcentral
GCCUUGCUAGCUCAAUCGGUAGAGCGUGUGACUCUUACUACUUGUAUCACAAGACUAAAGUCAUCACAAGGUUGGGGGUUCGAGCCCCCCGUAGGGCU